GGGGACUUCUCCGAUUCACACAAUAGACAGAAAGUGUCCAGGCCACAGUUGCUUGAAGAGAGAGUGAGGCUUUCUUCUUCUCAGGCCCACUUCCAAAUGCCCAGGGAAGGGACAAUGGUCCAACAUGGAUCAGGCACCGAAUCCUGAACUAACCACCUAAGGAAUGAACCCCCACCCCCAAUUCUAAGGGUAAAAACAAUGAGGAAUAUAAAGAUCACAGAGGGCUUAACAAAGGAUGUUACUCCCCAAAUGCCACAGCAUGGCCUGAAGACUUGCCUCACAGAAUUCAGCACCCAUUGAGGGCAUACAUGUAGAAGAGAAACAGAAUUCCCCAUGUGAUGGGCUGAAAAAUGCCCCCCCCACCAAGAUAUCCACAUCUUAAUCUCUGGAACUUGUAAAUGUUAUCUUAUUUGGGAAAAAUAACUCUUUGCAGACGUUAUUAAGGAUCUUGAGAUGAGGAAAUUAUCCUGGUUUAUCCAGGUGGGCCCUAAAUGCCAUCAGAAAUGUCCUUAUAGGUGAGAGGCAGAGGAAGAGUCGAUAUACCCAGAGGACAAGGCAAUGUGAAGAAGAAGCAGAGAAGGAGUUGAAGAUGCUGGCCUUGAAAAUUGGAGUAAUGCAGCCCCAAGGCAAGGAGUGCAGGCCUCCACCGAAAGUUGGAAGGGACAAGGGACAGAUUCUCCCCAAGAGCCUCUGGGGGGAGUGCAGCCCUGUCAACACCCUGAUGUUGAUCCAGUGAAACUAACUGCCAAAUUCUGGCCUCCAGAACUGUGAGAGAAUCCAUUUCUGUUGUUUUCAGCCACCAAGUUUGUGGUAAUUUGUUAUAGGAGCCACAGGAAAGGAACAGACCAAACCACUAAAAAGUCAAGCUGUUCCCUGAUGACAAGUAACCAAUGGGAGGCAUUUGGCAGAGCACAUUGGAAGAAAGAAAAACCACAUGACCAUUUUGGUUGUUAAAGACCCUGACGUCCCAAGUAUAAAUGAG
RNAcentral lists this long non-coding RNA (982 nucleotides) under Equus caballus (horse). RNAcentral's name for it is "lncRNA (ENSECAG00000052641.1)". The record is from RNAcentral. Lineage: Eukaryota; Metazoa; Chordata; Mammalia; Perissodactyla; Equidae.